AAUUUUGGACAAUGGGGGAAACCCUGAUCCAGCAAUGCCGCGUGCAGGAUGAAGGCCUUCGGGUUGUAAACUGCUUUUGUACGGAACGAAAAGUCUUGGGCUAAUACCCUGGGAUCAUGACGGUACCGUAAGAAUCAGCCCCGGGUAACUACGUGCCCGCCGCAGCGGGAAUACGUGGGGUGCAAGCGUUAAUCGGAAUUACUGGGCGUAAAGCGUGCGCAGGCGGUUUUGUAAGACAGUGGUGAAAUCCCCGGGCUCAACCUGGGAACUGCCAUUGUGACUGCAAGGCUGGAGUGCGGCAGAGGGGGAUGGAAUUCCGCGUGUAGCAGUGAAAUGCGUAGAUAUGCGGAGGAACACCGAUGGCGAAGGCAAUCCCCUGGGCCUGCACUGACGCUCAUGCACGAAAGCGUGGGGAGCAAACAGG
Molecule: ribosomal RNA, 424 nt
Filed under: uncultured bacterium
Lineage: Bacteria
Description: partial 16S ribosomal RNA
Rfam family: Bacterial small subunit ribosomal RNA
Source: RNAcentral